Molecule: long non-coding RNA, 2681 nt
Organism: Chrysemys picta bellii (western painted turtle)
Lineage: Eukaryota; Metazoa; Chordata; Testudines; Emydidae
Source: RefSeq, a predicted model, not a curated record
UCCAAUAAAUCUUAAUCUGCCUCUGAGUAUAGAUUUCAGUUUCCUGUUGCUGGAAGUGGCCAGUCUGAUGACUAAUGGUCCCAUGAUCAUUAUGAUCAUAAGCCCUUAUGAGCCAUAUAUUUCUGAUUUUAAUAUAAUUUGAAUGACCCACAUUACAGGCCCCUCGCUGUCUAUUUUAGGGGUUUCUAUAUCUCUCAUCACUGUAAUAUCUCAUGCAGAUUUCUCAGCUCUCAUAGUCUCUCUCAGAAUUUUAGCUAGGUUUUUAUACCGCACUCAUCACCAUGGUAUUUAAGCGCCUUAAGAUACGGGGUUACAUUGUGGCAUUUAGCCACAGCCUGCCACAAGGGACAAUAUGGGACUGCCCCACCCCAGAGGGCGCAACAGGAGAUAUUCUGCUUCUGGGAGAAUACUUCCCAAAGCUCCCCAGUUGCACUGGAGAGACAGCACUUCCAACCCCCCACUCCUUUAAAAGAAUACAACAUACUAUCUCAUGCACACAGAGGCUCUGUCUACUCCACACCCCUUUCAGGGCUGUUGAUAGCCUCUGUACUUCCCAAAUGCAGGGCUGACAAUUCUUGUUGCCCUUCAUACAGGCUAUGCAAGAGUUCCAGACAUUCGUGCAGCAUCCACGUUUUUGGAUGGUGAGAUGGAAAAAUGAUGCUAAAGAGUAGAUUUUGUGAUGGAUCAGAAGGAUUUGUGGGAAUUUGAUCCUAAACUCCCACAAGUCACCAAGAGGAGUGAUGGCAUCCCGCAAUACAUAGCAGCAGUCCCACAAUACACUGCAAAAAUUUCCCACAAGGCAAUGCUCCAGAUGGUAGUGCAGAGGACACAGGGAUGCCUACCUACAGCGCCAUUUGUCUUCUGUCGAUGCAACCUGAUGCUGUGAGGACACUCUGCAACAGCAAAGACAGCCGUAUGUGAACGCAGUGUGUCAAAGAAGCUAUGUCAUUCGCUGUAUGCCAGCAAAACUUUUGCCAGUAAAAAUUUCUAAUUACUUUCUAGUUUCUAGGCCUUAGUUUACUUGUAGCUACUAUUACAUGAUGUAGCUACAAACUCUCAGCCCAAAUAUCUCGCACUGGCACACAUGUAUACAACUACUGUAUUUUAGUCAUGACUGUAUAUUACUAUCCCAUAAUGGGAAAAUAUCUGGACACGUGGAAGCAUUGUAUGUCAGGGACAGAACCAGAUGCUUCAGACACAUUGCAAGAAAAAUGAAGUUAGUUUCAAUAACCUUAAUGUUAUGAAUAUAAAGAAUAAUCCUCUGUCCAUUAAAAUAUACACACUUCAUAAAAUACUAUUGGAAGCAAGGACAAUUUCAAUAAAGCACAGAAAUACAGUACCGUGAUAUUAGGUAUUGAGCUGAAAAUCUGUGUAGAAACGUAAAGUUGCAGAAACCUUGCUGGAAACACGUUAAUUGAAAAUCAUAAAUAACUUCAAAUAAAACAGUCAUUAGGCACAUCAAAAGACUAGAAUGGGCAAAGUAAUUGGAAUUUAUAAACUUACAUAAUUAAUUUUUCUUUGUAGGGAGAACAAACAUUCCAAUGUCCCAGCUCUGUCAGGGCCUUUGACAAUUAGACUCCUUUUUAUAAAUAUAUUAUGUAAGUUUAUAAAUUUCAAUUAGAGCUUGUCCUAGUCUCUUGCAGUCUAAGGAUGUUUUCAUUUUGGGUUAUUCAGGCAGUGGAUGGAACCAUUUUCCUUGGUGCAUCUAUAAGGUGAUUUCAAUGAAAAUUCUUUUAACAAAAUAAAAAAAAAAUUGGAUUAUAGUUUGACUACUAAGAUUCAGGAAAAGAAACAUGAAUUUGCUUUUACAUUGCAGAGUUCAAUAGAAUAUGCCUAUACGAUAGAUUCUAUAUGUAACAGAGUUACCCUAUCCAAGGGGGGCCUUCGGAAUAUAUGAAUAACUGUACUACUAUGAGUUCAAGGUUAUGCUGUAUAUCAUUUAUAUUAAUUUUUCCCUACUUUUGCAGUAAGGUCUCAGAUUUGACCUACAGCCUCGGUAUUACCAAGUAUUUGAACCUGAAUCUGCAAAAUGUGACAUGCAAAGCAGAUUGGUUGCCAGGAAACAUGGAUUUAUUCCAUAUCUCACCUCUUCCCUUUUUCCGGAGCAUGAGGCUUUCUCAACAUCUGUCCCUCCUUCGUGUUUUUCAUGGUGCAGUAGGUCACAAUCAAAAUGAGUCUGGUGGUCUCUUUCAAACUGCUUGUCAAGAUAUGUCCCCACUGCGAAGAGACUGACUGGCAGGGGGCAAAAAAGAGGUCUAGAAUGGAGAGGUGUGGCCUGGCAGGACAGAGACACGUUGGCAGAGCUGUGUGUGGAAGAUUUAGCACACCUACCCAGACUCCAGUCCCACGCUCUCCCUCUGAAGAGAUGAGGUGAGUGGGUGGCAUAAAGGCAGCUUUCAGUAUCCUUCCCAUCCCCGGAAGCAGAGCCAAGAAACUGGCCAUAUGUGUCAGGAUUGGAUGAGCUGAAUCUUUGGGAGACAAAUGAAUCUUCAUCACUCCUGUAGUAAAUGAAGAAAAAAAAAUCUGGAGCGAUUCUAAGGGCAGGUUUACACUUAAAAAGCUGCAACUGCACCACUGUAGAGCUUUAGUGAAGACACUACUACGCCAGCGAAAGAGUUUCUCCUAUCCAGGACCGGUGCAACCGCUAGGCGAACUAGGCGGUCGCCUAGGGCGCCCAGUGG